CGGCGAGUGAAGCGGCAAAAGCUCAAAUUUGAAAUCUGGCCCUCUCAGGGUCCGAGUUGUAAUUUGUAGAAGAUGCUUCGGGUGCGGCUCCGGUCUAAGUUCCUUAGAACAGGACGUCAUAGAGGGUGAGAACCCCGUUUGUGACUGGAUGCCCGCGCCCGUGUGAAGCUCUUUCGACGAGUCGAGUUGUUUGGGAAUGCAGCUCAAAAUGGGUGGUAAAUUUCAUCUAAAGCUAAAUAUGGGCCAGAGACCGAUAGCGCACAAGUAGAGUGAUCGAAAGAUGAAAAGCACUUUGGAAAGAGAGUUAAACAGUACGUGAAAUUGUUGAAAGGGAAGCGCUUGCAAUCAGACUUGCGCCCAGGUGAUCAUCGGGGGUUCUCCCCCGUGCACUCGCCUGGGCUCAGGCCAGCAUCGGUUUCCGUGGUGGGAUAAAGGCCCUGGGAACGUGACCCCUCUCGGGGGGUGUUAUAGCCCAGGGUGCAAUGCCGCCUACGGGGACCGAGGACCGCGCUUCGGCUAGGAUGCUGGCGUAAUGGUUGCAAGCGGCCCGUCUUGAAACACGGACCAAGGAGUCUAACAUCUAUGCGAGUGUUUGGGUGUCAAACCCAUGCGCGUAAUGAAAGUGAACGGAGGUGAGAACCCUCCAGGGUGCAUCAUCGACCGAUCCUGAUGUCUUCGGAUGGAUUUGAGUAAGAGCAUAGCUGUUGGGACCCGAAAGAUGGUGAACUAUGCGUGAAUAGGGUGAAGCCAGAGGAAACUCUGGUGGAGGCUCGCAGCGGUUCUGACGUGCAAAUCGAUCGUCAAAUUUGCGUAUAGGGGCGAAAGACUAAUCGAACCAU
This 839-nucleotide ribosomal RNA is filed under the name Cenangiopsis quercicola. RNAcentral's name for it is "eukaryotic LSU rRNA". It matches the Rfam family "Eukaryotic large subunit ribosomal RNA", at positions 87 to 943 of the family's 3401-position model. Lineage: Eukaryota; Fungi; Ascomycota; Leotiomycetes; Helotiales; Cenangiaceae. The record is from RNAcentral.